This 292-nucleotide long non-coding RNA is filed under the name Carica papaya (papaya). RNAcentral's name for it is "long non-coding RNA (CPAP_LNC008425)". Lineage: Eukaryota; Viridiplantae; Streptophyta; Magnoliopsida; Brassicales; Caricaceae. The record is from RNAcentral.
AUCAUCCAUACACAUAAAAUUAAGAAAUCGUUAGAAUCACCAUGAAAAGUACAAUCAACAUGUAUCUUAAUAAAUGUAACAUUUGGGUUCCUUACCAUUUCAUCGAAAGCAAGGUUACUUACCAUUUCUAUUUCCAUCACAUAUUGUUAUUUUUCUUACCGCUAUCACUGGAGGUCCAUAAGGAUCUCUACUACAUGCUGAUGUACAAAUAUUUCUUUUACAAUUCAUCGGCUGUCCCCAUACCCUGUUCGAUAAUGGAUGCUACAAUUAUAGACUGUCUCAAUAUCCCGUC